Molecule: ribosomal RNA, 508 nt
Filed under: uncultured bacterium
Lineage: Bacteria
Description: partial 16S ribosomal RNA
Rfam family: Bacterial small subunit ribosomal RNA
Source: RNAcentral
AUUGAACGCUGGCGGCAGGCCUAACACAUGCAAGUCGAGCGGCAGCGGGAAAGUAGCUUGCUACUUUUGCCGGCGAGCGGCGGACGGGUGAGUAAUGCCUGGGAAAUUGCCCAGUCGAGGGGGAUAACAGUUGGAAACGACUGCUAAUACCGCAUACGCCCUACGGGGGAAAGCAGGGGACCUUCGGGCCUUGCGCGAUUGGAUAUGCCCAGGUGGGAUUAGCUAGUUGGUGAGGUAAUGGCUCACCAAGGCGACGAUCCCUAGCUGGUCUGAGAGGAUGAUCAGCCACACUGGAACUGAGACACGGUCCAGACUCCUACGGGAGGCAGCAGUGGGGAAUAUUGCACAAUGGGGGAAACCCUGAUGCAGCCAUGCCGCGUGUGUGAAGAAGGCCUUCGGGUUGUAAAGCACUUUCAGCGAGGAGGAAAGGUUGAUGCCUAAUACGUAUCAACUGUGACGUUACUCGCAGAAGAAGCACCGGCUAACUCCGUGCCAGCCGCCGCCGUAA